GAAAACUGAGUGAACAGGAAGCCACCAAGCACCCUAAGCAGGAGGUGGGGAGUGCAGACAGGUCACCACCAUCUGCAGUGUGGCCACUGCUGUCUUGAAGCUGUACCUUGAGCCCAUCUACAAGGCAGCAGCUGCCCACUGGACCGUCUGUGCAGCCACUGCAUUUGGGGCACCCACUGGAGCCAUUCAGACCCACUGUCCACCUAAGGGUAAGCCAGAUGUUCCUACACGCUGCAGCUCAGCUGCUCCAAUGUUCAGCUCCUUUCCUCCAACUCCCCC
This 279-nucleotide long non-coding RNA is filed under the name Homo sapiens (human). Its description in RNAcentral is "HSALNT0251281". Lineage: Eukaryota; Metazoa; Chordata; Mammalia; Primates; Hominidae. The record is from RNAcentral.